AUCGGNUGAGUACACUUUAAAUCCUUUAACGAGUAUCCAUUGGAGGGCAAGUCUGGUGCCAGCAGCCGCGGUAAUUCCAGCUCCAAUAGCGUAUAUUAAAGUUGUUGCGGUUAAAAAGCUCGUAGUUGGACUUGUGUCCCACGCUGUCGGUUCACCGCCCGUCGGUGUUUAACUGACAUGUAUCGUGGGACGUCCUGCCGGUGGUGGCGAGUCGAAAGAUCGCGCUCCCGCGGUUCAUACCGUGGGUCGGUUGCGGUUCGUAGACGGACCCCGAUGAAAUCCUACCGCGGUGCUCUUCAACGAGUGUCGAGGUGGGCCGGCACGUUUACUUUGAACAAAUUAGAGUGCUUAAAGCAGGCCUGAUGCGCCUGAAUACUGUGUGCAUGGAAUAAUGGAAUAGGACCUCGGUUCUAUUUUGUUGGUUUUCGGAACCCGAGGUAAUGAUUAAUAGGGACAGUCGGGGGCAUUCGUAUUGCGACGUUAGAGGUGAAAUUCUUGGAUCGUCGCAAGACGGACCGAAGCGAAAGCAUUUGCCAAGUAUGUUUUCAUUAAUCAAGAACGAAAGUUAGAGGUUCGAAGGCGAUCAGAUACCGCCCUAGUUCUAACCAUAAACGAUGCCAGCUAGCGAUCCGCCGAAGUUCCUCCGAUGACUCGGCGGGCAGCUCCCGGGAAACCAAAGCUUUUGGGUUCCGGGGGAAGUAUGGUUGCAAAGCUGAAACUUAAAGGAAUUGACGGAAGGGCACCACCAGGAGUGGAGCCUGCGGCUUAAUUUGACUCAACACGGGAAACCUCACCAGGCCCGGACACUGGAAGGA
RNAcentral lists this ribosomal RNA (815 nucleotides) under Anostostomatidae gen. B sp. Anost_F2267. RNAcentral describes it as "SSU rRNA". It matches the Rfam family "Eukaryotic small subunit ribosomal RNA", at positions 509 to 1239 of the family's 1831-position model. Lineage: Eukaryota; Metazoa; Arthropoda; Insecta; Orthoptera; Anostostomatidae. The record is from RNAcentral.